GUGAUGGAACAAUCUCCAGGGCCCGAUAAGCCACCCUGACCUGGGGAGGUUGGAAACGUAACUCCUGUCGGAGUUCCAGCCCCCACGUGGGUGUGAGCAAGCAGGCAGCGCACUGCGGCUUGGGACCAUCUGGGCUGGAAUUGCAGCACCAGCGCUCUCUAGCUCUGCAACUGUGGAACUUCCUGCUAAUAUUGAGAAGUGAGCUUCACUGCUACCACUUGCAUGCGUGCUCAAUGUGCUUUGGAGGAUCAAAGACACACAGUUUCCCACUGUUUGACCAACAUGAAAACUGAAUGGCAGUUGGCCUCUGAGCACCCCUAAGCUAUGUUCGGCCUUUGUACUGAGAGAGGAAGUUGCAUCUUUGGGUGGACACAGCCUGUGGCUCCUGUUGUACAAAGGGCCAGGCCCAGGAGAAGAAUGGAUUGGAGAAGGGACACCAUGUUUCACAGCUGUGACAUUUGCCAUCGGGCCUCAGGACACCCAAUGGCAGAGGUACCGUUACUGACUUUUACAUUGAUUGGUGCGUUAGUGUUCUUGGAUGUUCCUCCCCCAGCAUCCUCCAAUGCAUGUCCAUCACUGUGCGUCCUGCUUCUGCAGCCAUCCGCUCUUCUCUCUCAGUCUCCGGAACUGCCCUGCCCUCCCUGUGCAGACUCUAAAUGUCAGGGUGUCUUAGCAUCCCCCACACAGUUCAUGUGGAUGAAGUGA
This 705-nucleotide long non-coding RNA is filed under the name Papio anubis (olive baboon). Its description in RNAcentral is "lncRNA (ENSPANG00000048370.1)". Lineage: Eukaryota; Metazoa; Chordata; Mammalia; Primates; Cercopithecidae. The record is from RNAcentral.